ACGGGUGAGUAAUGUCUGGGAAACUGCCUGAUGGAGGGGGAUAACUACUGGAAACGGUAGCUAAUACCGCAUAACGUCGCAAGACCAAAGUGGGGGACCUUCGGGCCUCACGCCAUCGGAUGUGCCCAGAUGGGAUUAGCUAGUACGUGGGGUAACGGCUCACCUAGGCGACGAUCCCUAGCUGGUCUGAGAGGAUGACCAGCCACACUGGAACUGAGACACGGUCCAUACUCCUACGGGAGGCAGCAGUGGGGAAUAUUGCACAAUGGGCGCAAGCCUGAUGCAGCCAUGCCGCGUGUGUGAAGAAGGCCUUCGGGUUGUAAAGCACUUUCAGCGAGGAGGAAGGCAGUAAGGUUAAUAACCUUGCUGAUUGACGUUACUCGCAGAAGAAGCACCGGCUAACUCCGUGCCAGCAGCCGGGGUAAUACGGAGGGUGCAAGCGUUAAUCGGAAUGACUGGGCGUAAAGCGCACGCAGGCGGUUUGUUAAGUUGGAUGUGAAAUCCCCGGGCUUAACCUGGGAACUGCAUUCAAAACUGGCAAGCUAGAGUCUCGUACAGGGGGGUAGAAUUCCAGGUGU
Molecule: ribosomal RNA, 578 nt
Filed under: uncultured Enterobacteriaceae bacterium
Lineage: Bacteria; Pseudomonadati; Pseudomonadota; Gammaproteobacteria; Enterobacterales; Enterobacteriaceae
Description: bacterial SSU rRNA
Rfam family: Bacterial small subunit ribosomal RNA
Source: RNAcentral